GAGCUCGUAGGCGGUUUGUCGCGUCUGCCGUGAAAGUCCGGCGCCCUUCUCCGGAUCUGCGGUGGGUACGGGCAGACUAGAGUGAUCUUUGGGAGACUGGAAUUCCUGGUGUAGCGGUGAAAUGCGCAGAUAUCAGGAGGAACACCGAUGGCGAAGGCAGGUCUCUGGGCAUUAACUGACGCUGAGGAGCGAAAGCAUGGGGAGCGAACAGGAUUAGAUACCCUGGUAGUCCAUGCCGUAAACGUUGGGCACUAGGUGUGGGGGACAUUCCACGUUUUCCGCGCCGUAGCUAACGCAUUAAGUGCCCCGCCUGGGGAGUACGGCCGCAAGGCUAAAACUCAAAGGAAUUGACGGGGGCCCGCACAAGCGGCGGAGCAUGCGGAUUAAUUCGAUGCAACUUUAAGAACCUUACCAAGGCUUGACAUGGACCGGAGCGCCGCAGAAAUGUGGUUUCCCCUUUGGGGCUGGUUUACAGGUGGUGCAUGGUUGUCGUCAGCUCGUGUCGUGAGAUGUUGGGUUAAGUCCCGCAACGAGCGCAACCCUCGUUCUAUGUUGCCAGCACGUGAUGGUGGGGACUCAUAGGAGA
Molecule: ribosomal RNA, 586 nt
Filed under: Arthrobacter globiformis
Lineage: Bacteria; Bacillati; Actinomycetota; Actinomycetes; Micrococcales; Micrococcaceae
Description: bacterial SSU rRNA
Rfam family: Bacterial small subunit ribosomal RNA
Source: RNAcentral